UCGAGCCCGAAAAAACAAUCGACCGCGAACUCGUUAUCGAUGCUCAUGAGGUGCGCACAGCGGGCAUCCCCUGUUGUUGCCCCUCCCGUCCGUUGGGCGCCGCGUGCUCCCGGCGGGCGAAAAAUGUACCCACGGCGCGGCAAGCGCCAAGGAAGACCAUGUGGGUCGUCUGAUCCCGUGAUGCCCCGUUUGCGGUGCGCAUUAUGGGACCUGGCACCCGAUUGAAUGAUGGUGUUAAUGCCAUCGCAACAUAAC
Molecule: unclassified non-coding RNA, 255 nt
Filed under: Genlisea violacea
Lineage: Eukaryota; Viridiplantae; Streptophyta; Magnoliopsida; Lamiales; Lentibulariaceae
Description: ITS1
Source: RNAcentral